Molecule: long non-coding RNA, 925 nt
Organism: Xiphias gladius (swordfish)
Lineage: Eukaryota; Metazoa; Chordata; Actinopteri; Istiophoriformes; Xiphiidae
Exons: 4
Source: RefSeq, a predicted model, not a curated record
AAGAAGCCAGCUGCAUUCAAUUGAUCAAAUAGCACCCAAUUAAAUGUCUUGUAAAGGGAGGUUGGAUGAGCUUAAUAUGCAGCCAAAAAAAGUGAUCCAUAAUUGCUUAUGUGACCUCAGAAACAGAAGCUGAGACAAAAGAAUGACAACAGCACAAUGGACUGUGGCAAUCAAUAGAAAAAAUAGAACAAAACUAUAAUGGGGAUGCUAUAAAAACAAAAAAUAACUAAAAUCAUUGUUCAUAUAUUUUUUUUGAUGUAGAUUCUUACCAUCUGGUACAGGUAAAGGACGGCAUGAGGAGGCUGCAGGUCCGACAGCUUGCGAUGGAGAUGGUGGAACUUUUUUUUCCUGAUGGUCAUUUCAGCAAGGUGUCCUGUAAAGUUUAAAACUGGCAGUGCUGGCAGUACAAAGAUACUUAUCUGUAUGCCACACUGUACAGAUUGCAGCACAUGGACAGGAAGAUAAUGGGCCGUUCUGGGUAAGAGAAACGCUGGGAAUCCAACAGGAAGGUCAAGACCGUCAGAGUGGUCGACAGGAAGCACAGCACGGCCCACACUGCCAUCCAUGCGUCUGUGAAGACUUUGGCCCCUCGUCGGUAGAGCCCGCUGUCGUAGCCGCACUGGAGAGUACAGCUUUCAGUCUGUUUCAGCCAGGUAUACUGGUCAGGUGCAGAUCCCAGGGCCUGACACUCCUCCUGGUGGGGGGGGUGGCGGACUGGCUGGUAAGGUGGGUCCUCGUCGCCUGGACCCUCCAUACACAUGUGGUUGUGGUCAUUUUGAGGUGGGAAAAGGCUACAGUUGAGCACCUAGAGAAAAUACGAUGGGAAAUGGCAUUCUGGUUGCUUAUUAAGGCUAUGAUUUUGAGCUAAUGUUCAUCAAUUUUGUAUGAUUUAAAAAAUGUCCCAAAAGAAAGCAUUUUGUCUUUA